RNAcentral lists this ribosomal RNA (446 nucleotides) under uncultured bacterium. RNAcentral describes it as "SSU rRNA". It matches the Rfam family "Bacterial small subunit ribosomal RNA", at positions 26 to 518 of the family's 1533-position model. The record is from RNAcentral.
AGAGCGAACGCUGGCGGCAGGCCUAACACAUGCAGGUCGAGCGCCCGUAGCAAUACGGGAGCGGCAGACGGGAUAGUAACACGUGGGAACGCGCCCUUCGGUUCGGAAUAACUCAGGGAAACUUGAGCUAAUACCGGAUACGCCCUUACGGGGAAAGAUUUAUUGCCGAAGGAACGGCCCGCGUCCGAUUAGCUAGUUGGUGAGGUAAUGGCUCACCAAGGCGACGAUCGGUAGCUGGUCUGAGAGGAUGACCAGCAUCACUGGGACUGAGACACGGCCCAGACCCCUACGGGAGGCAGCAGUGGGGAAUAUUGGACAAUGGGCGCAAGCCUGAUCCAGCCAUGCCGCGUGGAUGAUGAAGGCCUUAGGGUUGUAAAGUCCUUUAACGGGGAAGAUAAUGACGGUACCGUAGAAUAAGCCCCGGCUAACUUCGUGCCAGCAGCCGC